UACAGAGGGUGCAAGCGUUGCUCGGAAUUAUUGGGCGUAAAGGGCAGGUAGGUUGUCCUAUUUGUCUGGGGUGAAAUCCCUGAGCUUAACUCAGGAAGUGCCCCAGAAACGGUAGGACUAGAGUCUUAGAGAGGUUCGUGGAAUUCCCAGUGUAGCGGUGAAAUGCGUAGAGAUUGGGAGGAACACCAGAGGCGAAGGCGGCGAACUGGAUAAGCACUGACACUCAACUGCGAAAGCGUGGGGAGCAAACAGGAUUAGAUACCCUGGUAGUCCACGCUGUAAACGAUGGGUACUAGACCUUGUGGGAAUUGACCCCUGCAGAGUCGGAGCUAACGCGAUAAGUACCCCGCCUGGGAAGUACGGUCGCAAGACUAAA
Molecule: ribosomal RNA, 376 nt
Filed under: uncultured bacterium
Lineage: Bacteria
Description: bacterial SSU rRNA
Rfam family: Bacterial small subunit ribosomal RNA
Source: RNAcentral